GACGAACGCUGGCGGCGUGCUUAACACAUGCAAGUCGAACGGAAAGGCCCUGCUUUUGUGGGGUGCUCGAGUGGCGAACGGGUGAGUAACACGUGAGUAACCUGCCCUUGACUUUGGGAUAACUUCAGGAAACUGGGGCUAAUACCGGAUAGGAGCUCCUGCUGCAUGGUGGGGGUUGGAAAGUUUCGGCGGUUGGGGAUGGACUCGCGGCUUAUCAGCUUGUUGGUGGGGUAGUGGCUUACCAAGGCUUUGACGGGUAGCCGGCCUGAGAGGGUGACCGGCCACAUUGGGACUGAGAUACGGCCCAGACUCCUACGGGAGGCAGCAGUGGGGAAUAUUGCACAAUGGGCGGAAGCCUGAUGCAGCAACGCCGCGUGCGGGAUGACGGCCUUCGGGUUGUAAACCGCUUUCGCCUGUGACGAAGCGUGAGUGACGGUAAUGGGUAAAGAAGCACCGGCUAACUACGUGCCAGCAGCCGCGGUGAUACGUAGGGUGCGAGCGUUGUCCGGAUUUAUUGGGCGUAAAGGGCUCGUAGGUGGUUGAUCGCGUCGGAAGUGUAAUCUUGGGGCUUAACCCUGAGCGUGCUUUCGAUACGGGUUGACUUGAGGAAGGUAGGGGAGAAUGGGAUUCCUGGUGGAGCGGUGGAAUGCGCAGAUAUCAGGAGGAACACCAGUGGCGAAGGCGGUUCUCUGGGCCUUUCCUGACGCUGAGGAGCGAAAGCGUGGGGAGCGAACAGGCUUAGAUACCCUGGUAGUCCACGCUGUAAACGGUGGGUACUAGGUGUGGGGUCCAUUCCACGGGUUCCGUGCCGUAGCUAACGCUUUAAGUACCCCGCCUGGGGAGUACGGCCGCAAGGCUAAAACUCAAAGGAAUUGACGGGGCCCCGCACAAGCGGCGGAGCAUGCGGAUUAAUUCGAUGCAACGCGUAGAACCUUACCUGGGUUUGACAUGGAUCGGGAGUGCUCAGAGAUGGGUGUGCCUCUUUCGGGGUCGGUUCACAGGUGGUGCAUGGCUGUCGUCAGCUCGUGUCGUGAGAUGUUGGGUUAAGUCCCGCAACGAGCGCAACCCUUGUUCACUGUUGCCAGCACGUUAUGGUGGGGACUCAGUGGAGACCGCCGGGGUCAACUCGGAGGAAGGUGGGGAUGGCGUCAAGUCAUCAUGCCCCUUAUGUCCAGGGCUUCACGCAUGCUACAAUGGCUGGUACAGAGAGUGGCGAGCCUGUGAGGGUGAGCGAAUCUCGGAAAGCCGGUCUCAGUUCGGAUUGGGGUCUGCAACUCGACCUCAUGAAGUCGGAGUCGCUAGUAAUCGCAGAUCAGCAACGCUGCGGUGAAAACGUUCCCGGGGCU
This 1346-nucleotide ribosomal RNA is filed under the name uncultured bacterium. RNAcentral describes it as "partial 16S ribosomal RNA". It matches the Rfam family "Bacterial small subunit ribosomal RNA", at positions 28 to 1381 of the family's 1533-position model. The record is from RNAcentral.